This 231-nucleotide ribosomal RNA is filed under the name uncultured bacterium. Its description in RNAcentral is "partial 16S ribosomal RNA". It matches the Rfam family "Bacterial small subunit ribosomal RNA", at positions 103 to 334 of the family's 1533-position model. The record is from RNAcentral.
CGGGUGAGUAACACGUAUCCAACCUGCCGUCUACUCUUGGACAGCCUUCUGAAAGGAAGAUUAAUACAAGAUGGCAUCAUGAGUUCACAUGUUCACAUGAUUAAAGGUAUUCCGGUAGACGAUGGGGAUGCGUUCCAUUAGAUAGUAGGCGGGGUAACGGCCCACCUAGUCUUCGAUGGAUAGGGGUUCUGAGAGGAAGGUCCCCCACAUUGGAACUGAGACACGAUCCAA